Non-coding RNA from Lentinula lateritia, 81 nucleotides. The record is from the annotation of a GenBank genome assembly. NCBI's taxonomy places the organism in Eukaryota, Fungi, Basidiomycota, Agaricomycetes, Agaricales, Omphalotaceae.
UCCGAUAUGGUGUAGUGGCUAACAUUAUCGCCUCUCAUUCCUUGAACGCGAUAGCCCGGGGUUCGAUUCCCCGUGUCGGAA